This is a long non-coding RNA of Columba livia (rock pigeon), 7218 nucleotides long. RefSeq lists it as uncharacterized. The record is from RefSeq and is a predicted model, not a curated record. The transcript is spliced from 3 exons. Lineage: Eukaryota; Metazoa; Chordata; Aves; Columbiformes; Columbidae.
UGAAGGGCAUCCCUCGGCCCCAAACUUUAGGAAGUGUGUUUAUUUCCAGCUCCUGAGGCCCAGCUUGCCAAACUAUAGUUGUGUCCUGCUGGUGGAUGGGAAGGGGAGGGAGCCCUGGCCUGCUCCCAGACUGGGAAGGAUGCUUAUACCCCUAGGUUCUGUUGCACAGGUGGUUCAAUCUGAGCAGCCCAAGGGUGGCAUCACCAUCCAUCGCCCCAGCUGGGGCAGGACACAAGCAGGAAUCUCAUGGGAUAACAAGAUAUACCUGAAUUUUGGCCACAAACGGAUGGGAACCACCUUGAACUCAGGGUUUCUACCCCAAAAAGGUCCACAACUCUAUUACAAGAAAAUAUUUGGAAAGGGGAUCGAGCAUGUGCUGAGAGUUUCCUGGACUGAGGCAUCCAUUGAAAACACACAGCAAUGGACUCAGGCUGACAUCCACAGUUUGCUGCUGCUGCUUCCUGGGUUGCCUCUGGGGUGGAGGGAUGCAGGCACAGGCACGGCACUCCUUUGUAUUUGGUGGUGCAGACUUCUAAGGUGGCCUGGGGAAGGCUUUUGAGCAGGAGGGAAGGAAGCAACUGGAGGGAAAAAGGCCAUUUUUAAGGCCUUCCCUGGCAGUUGUCCCCCCACUCAGUGAAUGAGGUGUGAUUCACAGCAGGGCCAUCGCAACUUUCCAUCAUUCUGCCAUGCAGUUUCAGGAGGCAGAGCGGGGGAAUCCUCUGCGAGCCUUCAGCCAGGAGGCCAGGCUGUGCAUCCUUUGUCAAACUGCAGCACACACCACCGCUCAGAAAGCCUGCCGACAUGCCUGGCUACACCAGUGUUGUGGAAAGCUUGGAAACUGCAGAGAGACUGUUCUCAUCGCGCUGGAAAGUGGAGCCCAUAGGAGGAGGCUGCUCUUUUCCAGAGGGACCUGUCAGGACCAGUUACCAAAAAUGGAAGGUGAAAUAAGCAUGUGAUAAGAUUCAUGUAAAUCUCAGAUGAUUACUUGGGAUGCAGCAAAAGGGCUGACUAAAUGCAUUAAAAUACUUCUUCCCUAAGUAGCAGAUAGAUUAUGGUUGGUGUAAAAAAAUAAAAUCACCGUGUGCAAGGUUUAAGUGUGCAGUGGAUAAAAAACAGCUCUCAAACCUGGUAUGUAAAUCAUUCUGUUGUGUUCUCCAAUCCAUUGUACAUCUCAGUCACUGUGGCACUGGUGGAAUGGGUUUGAUCCUGCAGACAUGGGAUCAGAACACUUUCUUUAGCUUCCAGAGGUUUUUCUGGGGCGUCUUGGUGGCAGUUUUCUGGAAGAGUCUUUCACAAAAGAGCUUGUAAACUGUUAAGAAGGUGAGCUGGUGGUUUCUCCUAACAGGAAUGCCUGCUGUAGAAAUGUUUAGAGCUACGUUUUGAUGCAAUUUGAUUUUAACAUGUCGCUUCAUAUAGAACUGGUAUAUUUUAUAUGAUCAAAUUGCAUUCAUUUUGUCAUAAUUCUGUGAAUAAUGUUAGAGUUAAUAUCCAUCAGAUUAGUUAACUGCCCAGGGUAGUACUUAAUCCACUUUUAAUUUGAAUGAGGGGAUUUAAAAGUCUCUAAGAACAUUUUACACCAUUGCCCUUUUGCCAGAGUUCCUUUCUCAAGGACACCAUUCAGAGGGGUAUCAGAGUCUACAAAGGUCACUGACAGAACAGCUCUUGUCUGUUGGAUGACACUGAGUUGGCACACAGAGAUGCCAAGGUUUGGCUGACCAAAAAGAGGGCAGACAUGGUGAUGGAGAAUGAAUGGGUGCAUUGAAACAACUCCAACUCAGUCUGCAUCUGGAACCUCUCUGAAGCAGCCAGCCUGAGAAGUUUGCUUCCAGCUCUAUCCAGACAAUCCACUGAGAAGCCUAUAAACUCAGCAGUCUUUGCAUGGGGAAACAACUUCAGGUAUCUUAUUGCAGGAUGACUGCAGCAGGGCUGGAGGAUAACCAUGCGAGGAGAGCUUGUGUUUCUUGCCUUUCUCCAUGUUGCUUCUUUCCCCAUUAACAACUUGAAAAAAGCAAUGUGCAUCUCCAAGUCUAAACAUCCUUCUCAGGCAGAAAUCACCUGCAGGAAUACUCUGCAAGAGAAAUACUGUGUUAUUCCUCAGGUUUGGGUGCUCUGGAGUCGGAAUUAGAUGCUUUGCCAUCAAGUAGGUCAGACGUGUCCCCAGCCCACAGAUCCAAAUGAUAGGAUGAAUAGGAAAAGGAAGCAGGAGGCUACACAAUACAUGGUUUUAAUGGAUGUUUGGAUUGGUGGUUAAUGUGCAAGCGCAUGUUUGUUAAGAGUUACCAGGAUAUGAAUCAAAGAAAUAAAAACAGCAAUGCAUUAAGGUUUAGAGAACCUUUUGGGAAGAAGCAAAUUAAUAUUUUUAAAUGUAAAUAUUUUGACCCAACCUAUUAGUCAUGUUCUUGUGCUACAGAGUGAGACGUCUGAGUUUGAUGUGGUAACUCAUUUCCCAUUUUCUGCAGAAAUAGCACAUUGUGCUUCUUCCACCAGCACUUUAUCUGACUGAUUAAAUAGUGCUAUUUUCCAGAUGACAAUUAUUUGUCAAAAACUUGUGCUUUUCAGAAAAUACAUGCAUCUUCAAACUUUCCAGUAUUAAAAAAUACACCAGUCUCUCCCUGGAUUGUCAUGUUACCUCCAUUAAAAAAACAAACAAACAAGCAAACAAAACCCCACUUUUUUCUUUUUUUUUUCCCCAGAUUUUCUGUUAUUGGUGUGUGGCACUGCCCUUGGUCAGUCAGCAAAUUCCCAGUCUUGGCUUUUCUUUUGAGACGUACCACUGUGAGAAAUUGCUGGAGACAUUAGGAAUACCUCUUCAUUAGAUCAGUGAGUUUCCUCUUCACUUUCUCUCUACUCCUUAUAAUUCUCACAGACUCAUUUAGCUCAGAUUUUUAAACAGGAGUGACCUUAAAAAAGUUUAAUAAAAGAUCAAUAAAUAUCAGGACAUUAUAGGCACAAGAAGCGUAUUACAGAUUGUUAAAAACCAUUGUAAUUCAAAGAUGUCAACAUAGUCUUCUGUCAGUUUUUUACAUACUGUACCAUUUUAUAACAAUUGAUUUUUUAGACCAACAAUUUCCUAAGAUAUUUGCAAAUAUAAAAUUAAUACUAAACAUGAACUAUAUUUGCAAUGAUUUAUCAAAUUGUUAGAACUGAUGAUAACUGCAACAAUUAGCUGUGCUAGCAGAUGUACAUCAAGAGAGAUGCUUGCAACAAAUUUGCUUGUUCAGCUCUGGCUUUUCUCAAGAGUUCUCUUAAGCCAGAGGAAUCACCUAGAGUUUCUGCAGGGGUAGCUCUUAGUCAUGUUAUUAAAACAUUAUAGCUGGUGGAAGAGUGAGUUUACUGGUUUCAUGCCUAUUCCUGGUUCUCCAGAUAGAAAAGAGGUCCAGUCUGAGUGUUGUUUCCUACUGCUUCAUCCUUCAGCCCUUUGAAGACUGGGGCUGUAAAGAGGCAUUGCUGGGAUGUGGUGGCCCCAAUUGUUGGAAUUUCCUUUUUCCAUUGGUCUGAAAAAAGUACAAGCGCAUGACACAAAGCCUGUCUUCUUCCUCCAUUUCUGACUUACAGAACAGCUAUUGUGAGGAAUGUAAAGAGUUUUCUUCCAAGGAAGUAGUCUAAAGAGGUCUGUAAUAAUUGUGGAUUUACAUUUUUUAUAUGUCCCCAGAUAUGCUGUAAAUAAUGCAUUCUAUAAAUGCUAGGAAAAAAAAUGUAAUUGAAAACAAAAAAAGCAGUGCAUGUCACAGCUGCGUGCUUUGCCAACCUUUGUCUUGAGUCACCCAUUCAAGGAGAAAUGAAGUAAAGACUCCUUUCCCUGGGCUCACUUCCAGCCAUUUUGCAUUUUAACUAUAUUUAGGCCAACCCUUUUUCUGAAAGUUUUAAUUCUUACAGAAUUUAUGGACCAAAAAAAGAAAAAAAAAAAACAAAACCAAAACAAAACAAAACAAAAAAACAGUAAGAAGAAGAAUAAUACAGUAGCUAUAUUUGGCAAUAUAGUGCUACCAAAGUUUUUGCCUAUUUAAUGUCUUUGAGCUCUUUUUAAUUUAUUUUAUUUUCCUGAACUCUUUCUUGGCUGCCUAUUAAUAUAUGGAAAAAGGUCAAAAAACUUUAUUUAUUGAGAAUCUUGCUGUAGUAUAAAAGAUUUUUAUUUUGGCUGUCUACUCCUGACUAGCUGUUGGUUGACUAAGUAAUACUAGACUGACAGCCUCCUUCUGCUCCUUUUUAACUCUUUCUGAGAGAUGCACAAAAAUAGUCACUUAACUUACUUCGUGCAAGCUUGGUUUUUCAACUAAGAGGUUAAUGAACUGUACAGUAAAAAUACUGGUAUUGAAAAUGAGAUUGGAGAUUCCCAUGGGAUAAAGGAUGAGUCAGCUGGAGGUGGAGCCACGUCAUAUGAGAAGACAAGGAAAAAAAAAAAAGUUUUAAAACUGGUCCACCAUAGAUCAUUAUUUACCAGUGCGGGGAGUCAAAUGUGUCACUUAGCUCCAGCCACUAUAUCAAAUCACAUGAAUUUUACCACAGCUCUGAAAUUUUCUUUCCAGAUUGCCUUAUACUGUGCCCCAAAGACUUUGCCUGUCUUUGAGGUGACAUGCCGAUUUCCCACUGGAGUAAUAAUUCAAAUGAAAUCACAUCACGGUGACACCAGUACAAUUAAAUCAUAAAUAAGGAUCAUGACACGUAUUUCCAAAAGCUAUUAUGAAAUAUAUAUAGACAUAUAAUGUGGAUUAGAUUGUUAUUUAAAAGGCUUUUUUUUAAAGCUCAAUUUAAAUCAAAGUAGAUUGCCCAUAUUUACUACCCUUCCUUUCUAAUCUCAGGGUUUAGCAAGCAUGAACCUGUGUUACUCUCUCUAUUAUAUAAAUAGGAAGACUGAGACACUGAAUGUGAUUUUCUCCUGAUCAGAGAGCAGUGGGCAUGGGAAUGUUCCAGAUCUCAAGCUCCUCAAUUCCUCUGUCCUCUCUGUUGCGUUGAUCUGUCUCCAUAAUUCCUUAUUUAGCUAUUGGCUAGAGAUGAUCAGGACAAUUCUUUACUAAUUCUAGAAUCAUACCAACUCUAUUCCCAGUAGGGCCGCCCUUCAACUCUUACAAGCAUUCUUCCCAUCCGUUACCUUCCCAAAAGUACCUGGGCUAAUUGGAGGUUUUACUGCAUCUGAAGUAGGUUAUAGUGAAAUUAGACAUGACAUGAAGUUUGCAGGAACACAGUUAUUGGAAUUAAUGGGCAUCAAUCUGGGAUGGGCUAGAGGCAGGCAAACCAUAUACCGUGCCCAGCUCAGUGAAGAGCAGCACACGACAGAAAAGGGAAGGGAAAAGCACUUGUGCAGCUCUUCCCCCGCGGAAUUAGGAGUCUGCAUGGGACAGUAGCUGUUUCCAGAUCCUCAGGAAAUGGCUUGAGCUUUAUUUAUCGCCAUGUAGAUAGUGCAGAAUAAUCCUGUGCCAGAUGUCAUCUUUUGUAUAGGCACACAGUGAGUGCAGUGGCUUGCAUUGCACAACACUGACAUCAUUGGAGGGAGAGUUAGCUGACCUAGACAUAUGAAAGUUUGGGCUCUAGACCUUCUGUUUGUGAAGCUUAUAUUUGUUUCCUAAUACAGCUGGUUAUCUUUUCAACGGUAUUUCAUUUUCUAGGCAAACUUUAAUUUAUUACAUUUUUUUCUCUGUCUCUGGGAAGUGAAUGGUAAGAAAUCAACCAGAUUAAAGUUAUCACAAAAAUAAGGAGAAAAGAUUACCUGUCUGGUGAUGAUCUGGAGAUAUUAUUCCUUACUGGCAAAAGCCCAGAGGAAUUGAGACUCUGAGUCUGUGGAUUCUUAACAUGGAGGUAAGCAGGGACAUGGAGAACAGCAGUUGUGACUCCAUGGGCUCAUGUUAACCUGGAGCAUAUUGUGUGUCAACAAUACCAACAGAUAGCACAGGAAUUUGGUCCAUUUUGGCUCCGGUCCUGCAAGGGUUUAGGCUUAUACCUCAGAUGCAUGGAGGCAGGGCAAUAAAGCUUGGAGAAUACAGAAGACUUUAUGGAAAAGAGGCAUGUUUUUCACUAGAAACUGGCUUUGCUGCAGAAAUUUUUGUGCGUCAAAAUAUCAAGCAGCACAGAGUUAAAUGGAAUCAUACUAAUAAACGUGGAUAAUCCCAUCAUCUGUGGUUGGGCUGACAGCAAAGCACCUCUGAACACACGCAGCCAAGCAAAAUUUUCCUGCAAUUAACUGGAUUUGAUUAAAUUUCUCAUUUAGUGGCUGAAGGAAAAGACACAGCAAGUAACUUUCUUGCUAACCUGGAACUUUGAGUAAUAGCUGUGGAUAUGACAAACCAGGAUCCCCACUGCAUUAAAUGGGAAAACUGUUGCUCUGAAUAUGGAAACACAAGUGCAAGAACUGAGUUUCUCAAGACCUUUCUCCUUGUCCUGAUCUUCUCAUUUUCUGAAAGAGAAGAAGAAAAUUUUGACCUCAAGAUGGCUGUUCUGAUGCUGUUACAUUUCCGUUAAAAAAAAAGUUGAAACUUUUUAAUUUUUGUUUCUGGGAAGGGCGGAAACCAGUUUCAAGGCCUUGAAAGCUACUGGGAAAUGGAGCUGUCGAUCUCCAGCCAGCUUUAGAUUAUGAUCUCUGAACUUGGAUGGGGGCAUGUAGUCACUGAUACCAUCCAUGUCCUUCCUUAUACAGGGCUAUGCUCUACUCAGAAUCACUGAAUCUUUACUAAAAUCACUUAUAGCAAGGUCCUGAAAAAUCUCUAAGUAAGUGAAACAAGCAGUUGCUUUUAUGAUCUUGUUAAAAUUGUGUAUGGCAUAUGGAGACUUAUAUGGGUGCUAAAUAUGUCAUAGGCUUGUUGCUAGAUAAAUCCUGAAUUAGUUUUAUACUAAGUAUCUUGUCUUAAAUUAUAUGAAUUUGGCCUGGUUUUGGUUUCAUUUCUCAUCUGUAUCAUCAAACUCUGUUACCUGCUGAAAGCUUCAUUUCUUUUAUACCAGUGACUUGAGUCCUUUUUAGUGCCACUUUGAAUAAAAACCAGAAAGAGCAAAAAAUUUUCCAUAAAAAAAUGCACAACAUUUUGCAAACAUUCCAGCUGCAACAUACAGAUCAGCUUCUUCAAAACCCAUUGAAAUUCUCCAUGAGCUCCGCCUUGCGUAAUUUUCUAUCAUGGGUAACAUCAGUGAUGUAACAACAGUGAGAGUUGACAGUAUCUGCCAGAUCACCUGGUUUGGGUCAGAUCUGCACAUCAUAGUGUUUAAGGUAAGCUUUUUGUUACAGGGGUCUUG